AGUGGGGAAUAUUGGACAAUGGGGGCAACCCUGAUCCAGCCAUGCCGCGUGAGUGAUGAAGGCCUUAGGGUUGUAAAGCUCUUUCACCCGGGACGAUAAUGACGGUACCGGGAGAAGAAGCCCCGGCUAACUUCGUGCCAGCAGCCGCGGUAAUACGAAGGGGGCUAGCGUUGUUCGGAAUCACUGGGCGUAAAGCGCACGUAGGCGGACCGUUAAGUCUGAGGUGAAAGCCUGGGGCUCAACCCCAGAACUGCCUUCGAUACUGGCGGUCUCGAGUCCGGAAGAGGUGAGUGGAACUGCCAGUGUAGAGGUGAAAUUCGUAGAUAUUGGCAAGAACACCAGUGGCGAAGGCGGCUCACUGGUCCGGUACUGACGCUGAGGUGCGAAAGCCGGGGGAGCGAACG
Molecule: ribosomal RNA, 404 nt
Filed under: uncultured prokaryote
Description: bacterial SSU rRNA
Rfam family: Bacterial small subunit ribosomal RNA
Source: RNAcentral